AUUCUUGGAGUAAUAACUGUCUUGAAGAAUAUGUAACAGCAAUAUGCAAUGACAUUAUCAUGGAAGCAUGUUACUUGAAAGCAAGUAUUGACUAAUCAAGAUGAUCAAGUGGUGUGUAUCAGAGUUAAUAUUUCUUGACUUGUGACUGUCU
Molecule: long non-coding RNA, 151 nt
Organism: Dioscorea cayenensis subsp. rotundata (Guinea yam)
Lineage: Eukaryota; Viridiplantae; Streptophyta; Magnoliopsida; Dioscoreales; Dioscoreaceae
Exons: 2
Source: RefSeq, a predicted model, not a curated record